This 449-nucleotide ribosomal RNA is filed under the name uncultured bacterium. Its description in RNAcentral is "partial 16S ribosomal RNA". It matches the Rfam family "Bacterial small subunit ribosomal RNA", at positions 29 to 523 of the family's 1533-position model. The record is from RNAcentral.
AACGAACGCUGGCGGCAGGCCUAAAACAUGCAAGUCGAGCGAUGUAGCAAUACAUAGUGGCGCACGGGUGCGUAACGCGUGGGAAUAUGCCCUUCACUACGGAACAACGUCGGGAAACUGACGCUAAUACCGUAUAAUGACUCCGGUCCAAAGAUUUAUCGGUGAAGGAUUAGCCCGCGUCUGAUUAGGUAGUUGGUGAGGUAACGGCUCACCAAGCCGACGAUCAGUAGCUGGUCUGAGAGGAUGAUCAGCCACACUGGAACUGAGACACGGUCCAGACUCCUACGGGAGGCAGCAGUUAGGAAUAUUGGACAAUGGGGGAAACCCUGAUCCAGCCAUGCCGCGUGAGUGAAGAAGGCCUUAGGGUUGUAAAGCUCUUUCGUCUGUGAAGAUAAUGACAGUAGCAGAAGAAGAAGCCCCGGCUAAAUUCGUGCCAGCCGCCGCAGUAA